AUGAACGCUGGCGGCGUGCCUAAUACAUGCAAGUCGAGCGAACAGAUGAGGAGCUUGCUCCUCUGACGUUAGCGGCGGACGGGUGAGUAACACGUGGAUAACCUACCUAUAAGACUGGGAUAACUUCGGGAAACCGGAGCUAAUACCGGAUAAUAUAUUGAACCGCAUGGUUCAAUAGUGAAAGACGGUUUUGCUGUCACUUAUAGAUGGAUCCGCGCCGCAUUAGCUAGUUGGUAAGGUAACGGCUUACCAAGGCAACGAUGCGUAGCCGACCUGAGAGGGUGAUCGGCCACACUGGAACUGAGACACGGUCCAGACUCCUACGGGAGGCAGCAGUAGGGAAUCUUCCGCAAUGGGCGAAAGCCUGACGGAGCAACGCCGCGUGAGUGAUGAAGGUCUUCGGAUCGUAAAACUCUGUUAUUAGGGAAGAACAAAUGUGUAAGUAACUAUGCACGUCUUGACGGUACCUAAUCAGAAAGCCAUGGCUAACUACGUG
Molecule: ribosomal RNA, 496 nt
Filed under: uncultured bacterium
Lineage: Bacteria
Description: partial 16S ribosomal RNA
Rfam family: Bacterial small subunit ribosomal RNA
Source: RNAcentral